This 1063-nucleotide ribosomal RNA is filed under the name Triticum aestivum (bread wheat). RNAcentral's name for it is "partial small subunit ribosomal RNA". The record is from RNAcentral. Lineage: Eukaryota; Viridiplantae; Streptophyta; Magnoliopsida; Poales; Poaceae.
ACCCCACCGCAGCACAAACCCUAGCUCACAUCCCCUUCCCCCAUCGCACCCUUCUCCCCCCAUCUGCUCGCCGCCGCCGCCACCUCCCGAUCCAAUCUCACCCCGCCGCCACCUCCCGAUCCAAUCACUGCCCAAUCCAACCAGACCCGAUCCCCACGCGCAUUCCCUCCGCUCCCCGCCCCGGAUCCGACCGACCGACCGACCGCGCCGCGCGACCGCCGGGAGAGCAUGGGGAGCGGGGGCAGGACGGAUCUGGACGGCGGCGCCGUGGCGCCGCUGACCAUCUGCGUGAUCGGCACCGGCGGCUUCAUCGGCUCGCACCUCUGCGAGAAGCUCAUGGCCGAGACCCAGCAGACGGUCCUCGCCGUCGACGUCUACUGCGACAAGAUCCGCCACCUCGUCGACCCGCCCCCGCCCCACCUCGCCGGCCGCAUCUCCUUCCACCGCCUCAACAUCAAGAACGACUCCCGCCUCGAGGGCCUCAUCAAGAUGGCCGAUCUGACGAUAAACCUGGCGGCGAUCUGCAUGCCGGCGGACUACAACACGCGCCCGCUCGACACCAUCUACAGCAACUUCAUCGACGCGCUCCCUGUGGUCAAGUACUGGAUCCGGAAGUCGUUUGCCCUGUCAGACUUGGAGAACAGCAAGCGUCUGAUCCACUUCUCCACGUGCGAGGUCUACGGCAAGACCAUCGGCAGCUUCCUCCCCAAGGACCACCCCCUCCGCAAGGUUAUUUGCAUCUUGAUUAGGAGAUGAUGGUGAUCAUCUUUUGUUGCGGGAACCUGUUAGAUAAAGUUUAUGUGAUUUGAACCUGCAAGAUACAGUUUUGUAUAAUGUUGUGUGAGAUAAAAGUUGUGAACAUAGGAGAUAAGUUAUUGAUAUGUGUUGGCCUGUCUAAUGUUAUGCGAGAUAAAGUUGUGUGAGAAAGUUUUCUAUACUUGUGUUAUUACUGUGGGAAAGAAGUACUGUUACUAUACUGAUUUGAGAGUAUUGGCUGUAAAUAAAAGAGGGCUUGGCCCACUAUUGGAUUGUAAAACGGCCAUAUCCAGAAUUUAUAUUGCAC